AAGUCGUAACAAGGUCUCCGUUGGUGAACCAGCGGAGGGAUCAUUACUGAGUUAUCAAAAACUCCAAAACCCUUUGUGAACUUACCGUCGUUGCCUCGGCGUGAGCUGCGGCUACCUACCCUGGAGAGGGGGCGACUACCCUGCAGGAAAACCCCUCACUUCCCUACCCGGGAAGAUGAGGCGCUGCCUUUGCAGGGCUGACGCCCCCCCGCCCGGGGGAGCUAGCCGGCUUACCAGCCCGCCGGCCGGCCACUACUUAAACUCUUCGUUUCCAUGUAUCUCUGAAUCUUCAACUUAAAAUAAGUUAAAACUUUCAACAACGGAUCUCUUGGUUCUG
RNAcentral lists this unclassified non-coding RNA (337 nucleotides) under air metagenome. Its description in RNAcentral is "partial contains small subunit ribosomal RNA, internal transcribed spacer 1, and 5.8S ribosomal RNA". The stretch from base 1 to 46 matches the Rfam family "Eukaryotic small subunit ribosomal RNA", at positions 1786 to 1831 of the family's 1831-position model. The record is from RNAcentral.